GUGGGGAAUAUUGCACAAUGGGCGGAAGCCUGAUGCAGCGACGCCGCGUGAGGGAUGACGGCCUUCGGGUUGUAAACCUCUUUCGCCAGGGACGAAGCUUUAGGGUGACGGUACCUGGAUAAGAAGCACCGGCCAACUACGUGCCAGCAGCCGCGGUAAUACGUAGGGUGCGAGCGUUGUCCGGAAUUACUGGGCGUAAAGAGCUCGUAGGCGGUUUGUCGCGUCGUCUGUGGAAUUCUGCAGCUUAACUGCAGGCGUGCAGGCGAUACGGGCAGACUUGAGUACUACAGGGGAGACUGGAAUUCCUGGUGUAGCGGUGAAAUGCGCAGAUAUCAGGAGGAACACCGGUGGCGAAGGCGGGUCUCUGGGUAGUAACUGACGCUGAGGAGCGAAAGCGUGGGGAGCGAACAGGAUUAGAAACCCUAGUAGUCC
Molecule: ribosomal RNA, 432 nt
Filed under: uncultured bacterium
Lineage: Bacteria
Description: bacterial SSU rRNA
Rfam family: Bacterial small subunit ribosomal RNA
Source: RNAcentral